This 91-nucleotide transfer RNA is filed under the name Oscillospiraceae bacterium. Its description in RNAcentral is "tRNA-Ser". It matches the Rfam family "tRNA". Rfam says of the family: Transfer RNA (tRNA) molecules are approximately 80 nucleotides in length. The record is from RNAcentral. Lineage: Bacteria; Bacillati; Bacillota; Clostridia; Eubacteriales; Oscillospiraceae.
GGAGAAGUCGCGUAGUUGGUCGAGCGCGCGCGAUUGGAAAUCGCGUAACGGGUAACACCGUUCGAGAGUUCGAAUCUCUCCUUCUCCGCCA